AGAGUUUGAUCAUGGCUCAGAAUCAACGCUGGCGGCGUGCCUCAGACAUGCAAGUCGAACGAUUAAGACUUCCUUCGGGAAGUGCAUAAAGUGGCGCACGGGUGAGUAACACGUAAGUAAUCUACCUUCGAGUGGGGAAUAACGUCCGGAAACGGACGCUAAUACCGCAUAAUGCAGCGGCAUCGUAAGAUGACAGUUGUUAAAGGAGCAAUUCGCUUGAAGAGGAGCUUGCGGCAGAUUAGCUAGUUGGUAAGGUAAUGGCUUACCAAGGCUACGAUCUGUAACCGGUCUAAGAGGACGGUCGGUCACACUGACACUGAAUAACGGGUCAGACUCCUACGGGAGGCAGCAGUCGGGAAUUUUGGGCAAUGGGCGAAAGCCUGACCCAGCAACGCCGCGUGAAGGAUGAAGUAUUUCGGUAUGUAAACUUCGAAAGAAUAGGAAGAAUCAAUGACGGUACUAUUUAUAAGGUCCGGCUAACUACGUGCCAGCAGCCGCGGUAAUACGUAGGGACCAAGCGUUGUUCGGAUUUACUGGGCGUAAAGGGCGCGUAGGCGGCAUGACAAGUCACUUGUGAAAUCUCCGGGCUUAACUCGGAACGGUCAAGUGAUACUGUCGCGCUAGAGUGCGGAAGGGGCAAUCAGAAUUCUUGGUGUAGCGGUGAAAUGCAGAUAUCAAGAGGAAUACCUGAGGUGAAGACGGGUUGCUAGGCCGACACUGACGCUGAAGCGCGAAAGCCAGGGGAGCAAACGGGAUUAGAUACCCUAGUAGUCC
RNAcentral lists this ribosomal RNA (774 nucleotides) under uncultured bacterium. RNAcentral's name for it is "bacterial SSU rRNA". It matches the Rfam family "Bacterial small subunit ribosomal RNA", at positions 8 to 796 of the family's 1533-position model. The record is from RNAcentral.